ACUCCUACGGGAGGCAGCAGUGGGGAAUAUUGGACAAUGGGGGCAACCCUGAUCCAGCCAUGCCGCGUGUGUGAAGAAGGCUUUCGGGUUGUAAAGCACUUUCAGUGAGGAGGAAAACCUGCCGGUUAAUAACCGUCAGGCUUGACGUCACUCACAGAAGAAGCACCGGCUAACUCCGUGCCAGCAGCCGCGGUAAUACGGAGGGUGCGAGCGUUAAUCGGAAUUACUGGGCGUAAAGCGCGCGUAGGUGGUUAGGUAAGCGAGAUGUGAAAGCCCCGGGCUCAACCUGGGAAUGGCAUUUCGAACUGCUUGGCUAGAGUGUGGUAGAGGGUAGUGGAAUUUCCUGUGUAGCGGUGAAAUGCGUAGAUAUAGGAAGGAACACCAGUGGCGAAGGCGGCUACCUGGACCAACACUGACACUGAGGUGCGAAAGCGUGGUUAGCAAACAGGAUUAGAUACCCUGGUAGUCCACGCCGUAAACGAUGUCAACUAGCCGUUGGGGAUCUUGAAUCCUUAGUGGCGCAGCUAACGCACUAAGUUGACCGCCUGGGGAGUACGGCCGCAAGGUUAAAACUCAAAUGAAUUGACGGGGGCCCGCACAAGCGGUGGAGCAUGUGGUUUAAUUCGACGCAACGCGAAGAACCUUACCUGGCCUUGACAUGCAGAGAACUUUCCAGAGAUGGAUUGGUGCCUUCGGGAACUCUGACACAGGUGCUGCAUGGCCGUCGUCAGCUCGUGUCGUGAGAUGUUGGGUUAAGUCCCGUAACGAGCGCAACCCCUUUCCCUAGUUGCUAGCAGGUCAUGCUGAGAACUCUAGGGAGACUGCCGGUGACAAACCGGAGGAAGGUGGGGAUGACGUCAGGUCAUCAUGGCCCUUACGGCCAGGGCUACACACGUGCUACAAUGGUACGUACAGCGAGUUGCGAACCCGCGAGGGGUAGCUAAUCUUCCAAAACGUAUCGUAGUCCGGAUCGGAGUCUGCAACUCGACUCCGUGAAGUCGGAAUCGCUAGUAAUCGUGAAUCAGAAUGUCACGGUGAAUACGUUCCCGGGCCUUGUACACACCGCCCGUCACACCAUGGAAGUAGAUUGCACCAGAAGUAGUUAGUCUAACCUUCGGGAGGACGAUUACCACGGUGUGAUUUAUGACUGGGGUGAAGUCGUAACAAGGUAGCCCUAGGGGAACCUGGGGCUGGAUCACCUCCUUAA
This 1207-nucleotide ribosomal RNA is filed under the name Marinobacter adhaerens. RNAcentral describes it as "bacterial SSU rRNA". It matches the Rfam family "Bacterial small subunit ribosomal RNA", at positions 335 to 1533 of the family's 1533-position model. Lineage: Bacteria; Pseudomonadati; Pseudomonadota; Gammaproteobacteria; Pseudomonadales; Marinobacteraceae. The record is from RNAcentral.